UGUAACCAGGUUUAUACAUGUUUAGUGGAGG
RNAcentral lists this non-coding RNA (31 nucleotides) under Mus musculus (house mouse). Lineage: Eukaryota; Metazoa; Chordata; Mammalia; Rodentia; Muridae. The record is from RNAcentral.